This 53-nucleotide transfer RNA is filed under the name Plagiorhynchus transversus. RNAcentral describes it as "tRNA-Leu". The record is from RNAcentral. Lineage: Eukaryota; Metazoa; Acanthocephala; Palaeacanthocephala; Polymorphida; Plagiorhynchidae.
AUUAGAAGAGCAGGUUAAUGCAUAUAAUUUAGGGUUAUGGGGGUAGUCUGAUU